This 73-nucleotide transfer RNA is filed under the name Sus scrofa (pig). It matches the Rfam family "tRNA". Rfam says of the family: Transfer RNA (tRNA) molecules are approximately 80 nucleotides in length. Their secondary structure includes four short double-helical elements and three loops (D, anti-codon, and T loops). Further hydrogen bonds mediate the characteristic L-shaped molecular structure. tRNAs have two regions of fundamental functional importance: the anti-codon, which is responsible for specific mRNA codon recognition, and the 3' end, to which the tRNAs corresponding amino acid is attached (by aminoacyl-tRNA synthetases). tRNAs cope with the degeneracy of the genetic code in two manners: having more than one tRNA (with a specific anti-codon) for a particular amino acid; and 'wobble' base-pairing, i.e. permitting non-standard base-pairing at the 3rd anti-codon position. The record is from Rfam by way of RNAcentral. Lineage: Eukaryota; Metazoa; Chordata; Mammalia; Artiodactyla; Suidae.
UCCCUGGUGGCUCAGUGGUUACAGAUCCAGCAUUGUCACUGCUGUGGCUCGGGUUUGAUCCCUGACUGGAGAA